CCCUUUCCCAGGUGUUUGACGACUUUUGUUGCUUGUUUUUCACCUCUAAACCCUCUAAACUUCAAUAGUUCUUUCCCCAAACACUUAGAAUCAUUUAUACCCUCAAUAUAUGAUAGAUUCAAACUAAAAUUACACCCGAAAACACGAAUCAAAUCGCAAAAAUCAUCAACAACACAACCCACAAGAAAUUCAAACGAAACUUCAACAAUGUUCAUCAAGAACUCAAUUUCUAAGCUUUCAAAGAC
Molecule: long non-coding RNA, 245 nt
Filed under: Solanum tuberosum (potato)
Lineage: Eukaryota; Viridiplantae; Streptophyta; Magnoliopsida; Solanales; Solanaceae
Description: long non-coding RNA (STUB_LNC005601)
Source: RNAcentral